This 57-nucleotide transfer RNA is filed under the name Nematostella vectensis (starlet sea anemone). It matches the Rfam family "tRNA", at positions 9 to 63 of the family's 71-position model. From Rfam's summary of the family: Transfer RNA (tRNA) molecules are approximately 80 nucleotides in length. The record is from Rfam by way of RNAcentral. Lineage: Eukaryota; Metazoa; Cnidaria; Anthozoa; Actiniaria; Edwardsiidae.
AGUCUAAUGGAUAUGACGUCGGCCUCCUAAGCCUAAGGUUGCGGGUUCGAGUCCCGU